RNAcentral lists this unclassified non-coding RNA (555 nucleotides) under Hevea brasiliensis (rubber tree). Lineage: Eukaryota; Viridiplantae; Streptophyta; Magnoliopsida; Malpighiales; Euphorbiaceae. The record is from RNAcentral.
CUAAUUACUGUAAUUAUGCUAACAACCAUAAAAACCAAAAACACUAUGAAAAUAAAAUAACAUACUUGUCUUCAAGAAUCCAAGGAUCAAAUCAACAUAUUCAAGCUUUCUUUCCAUCAACUUGUAAUCUUCUUUCAACUUUAAAACCUCAUGUUUGACCUCAUUUUUCAGCUUCAUAAACUCUUCCUUGAGCAUAUUUUCUAGCUUAAUAACAUCUUCCAGUAGCUCAUUCACAUGUUGACACUUAACAAUUUUCCUUAUUGAAGAGUUUCAACUCUAUCAAGUUGAAGUGGAAGUCGAUGAUGGCAAGCAACACACUAUCCCUAAAAUGGUCCACAUAUAUUGUCUAUGCAAUAGUAAUAUGGGCGGUUAGGGUUUUCUGCAGAUUGGGAAAGUCUCACCCCAAUCUACGAUUCAUAGCCAUGAAUCUUGAAUCCCAUCCACAUAUAGUGCCACUUGAAUGAGACAUUAUGGUUGAAACAAAUGAAGAAACGAAAAUGGAGGGACAAGAAGAGGUGGAUGUUGCAAAUAUGAGAGAGAAAUGGUGCUGUGAAG